AGCGCCGGCCAGGCUGGAAGUUGGCCGGACGGGCUAAGAGCUGGCCGGACGGUCUGGGUGCAGGCCCCGGCUAGCUCUUC
This 80-nucleotide transfer RNA is filed under the name Streptomyces diastaticus subsp. diastaticus. RNAcentral's name for it is "tRNA-Leu(aag)". The record is from RNAcentral. RNAcentral also lists the same sequence under 1 other name. Lineage: Bacteria; Bacillati; Actinomycetota; Actinomycetes; Kitasatosporales; Streptomycetaceae.